AUGGACCCUCCGAGGUUGAGAGAGAAGAGGGUCAUAUCCUGGCAUGACCGGGCCUCGGCUGUGGGUCAGCAACCAGUUGAGAGUUUCAGGCACUGCUGGAGCAAGGAAGGGAAGAGACGUCGAGGGUCAGCGAGGAAGAUGGAAAGGUGCUUGGCAUCUGAUGUUGAGUGGCAUCUUCUGGCUCAAAUAUGGUCAUUGGCGAGUCCCCGAGCCACAAAGCCUUCUCAGAACGCAGCUAAAGGCGGCCCUUCUCCUCCAGGUGGCCAGCCCACCUUCUUCUGCCCUGCCCACGGGCUCCCCCACGUUUUGACGACGCCACCGCUCAGCCUAGCUCGUCUCCAGGCUGAGCCCGACGGCCCUGCCGGGACUUCAGAGUUUACUUGCCCCGCGCCAGCACCAUCUGUCUGUGAAACCUCAGAUCCGCCGCAGAAAGAAGCAGGCGCAGGCGCCCAGAGCCUUGCUGAAGGGAGGGGACCGGGAGAGAGAGAAAUACAGAGAUCCGGAGGGGAACAGCAAGUGGAUGGGAAAGAACCUUGACAACACAAAACUCAUUUACUAAUGGACUGGUUUUAAGUUUCUCUUCUCGGGGUCCGCAAAUCUCCCUGCCUGAGUCCUCGGCCUUUUCAACCCUCGCGGGGAGCACAGUCCCCCAGGAGGCAGGUGGGCGGCUGCUCCGGCGCCGCGCUGGCCGUCGGAGCCCGGGAUCCCAAGGGUCGAGGGCACCAGGAGUUUCCAACCGAGCAGAGGAAAAAGGUGAAUGUUGUCACUGCAGCCAAGACUUGGGGAGUUUCCGCACUGCCCUAGAGCGACGACGCUGAUUUAUUGAAGAAACACCUUCCGAUGCUCUUCCUUUCCAAAUAUAGGUAGAGUAGGAUUCCCGCUGUAGUUCUUGAUGGCGAAGGAAUGCCAAGAAAGCGGGCCGGGAGCCCCAAAGCAUCUCUCUCCAAGCCAGAAGGGAAGCAAGUGGGUUCCACACAGAGGUUUUUAAACUAAGGCCUUAUAUCGACCCAGCCGGGAAACCCCACCAGCAACUAGUUCAUUGGUCUUUUCCAUGAACAUUUGUGCGCACCCGGCGGUUACCUGCACAGGGGAGGCGCAGAAGAGCCGAAACCUGGCGUCGGGCGCCGGUCGCCAGCCGCGUUACCCUCGGGAACCGCCGAGAAGCAGCGAGCGCAGCAGCUUUAGUUGCUCGUUCGUUCCCUUUAAAUCUCCGACGCAUCUCUGCUUUUCGUGUGAUUUGCAUUGACAGCAAAGGUUUUAAGUUACUAGAACAACUCAAACCUUUCUGUGUGCUAUUUAAAAUGGAUCAUUUGGUUUAUGUGGUUUGUAAAUUCAUGUCAUUUUACCUCUUUUAGUGGUUUUCACUGAAAGGCUCCAUUUUGGGAAACCUUAUAUAUCCGAGCCAACAAUUAACAUUUAUAACAAUUGGUUUCCCUAACCAAGGGAUCGAAAUAGUAGGUAGGCUCAUUGGUACAAAGCGAAUAGCACUUCUCCUUUCUAGUUCCGUGAUCUACUGGUUUAAACGCAAGGAGAAAGGCCGGCGGGCCCCGGCACCGCCUCUGAGGACUAGGACCACAUCUCAUCAACGCAGUGCCCGCCGUCCUGGCACCCACGCAGUCAUCUCCCCAGUUGUCGCCAACGUCUCUCACGUCCUUAUUCCUUUUGAAGAAAGAUGAAAAGAAGUGGGCAGAGAGGUCCAGAGGAAGCAGAAAAAAGGUGGUCAUAUUGGUGUCUAAUUGCCAUCUUUCUGCUCCUUGUCAUCUCCUGUAAAUUUAUACCUGCCCUUAUUUGUCCAAGCUACGCCUCAUUUCCUUAUACAAAAUUGUUAAUUAUAAAGUACACCCCAUACUCAACUUACCCUUUGUCUUUUAAGAGACAUGGCUAUACUUACAGACCCUCUACCCCUACACACACAUUUUAAUUCUGCGCACUUGCUCCAGACUUGAGGGUAUUAAUUGAUUUUUAGAGCGGAGUGUAAGCCUCCGUUCCAGUCUUCACACAGCUGCCAUGUCAAUAAGGACUAUUCCAAGCAGAGACGUUCCUUCUGGCAGGACACUGAAGCUCCUUAAGACUUCAUCUGAAGCAUCAUGAGCGCUAAAAUAAGACGGCAAGGGAAAAUUACCAGACACAUGGGCUUCAGCUCAGCAGUGCCAGGCUUCCAGUUUAGAAAGUAAGUCAUUGGGCACACCAUAUGGUAGGGGCUUUUUUGAAAUAAUGUGCACACACACACACACACAAAGAAAAGAAAAGAAAAGAAAGAAAGAGAAGAAAAAGAAAAAAGAAAAGAAAUUCUAUGCACCCAUUAAAUGCAUUUUAAAAAUAACUCUAAAGGUAAUGAAAUAUCAGCAUUUAUCUCCAAGGUCUAAUUGCAUGGGAUACUGCAGAAUUUUAAGGAUGCAAAAAUGCAUUGUGUGGGAGUUCAGGGGAGAAGCAGCUUCUCUCUACUUGGAAUCUCUGGAGAGAAAGCCAGGGAGGUGAAACUCUUCCUGAGUUUAAAAUGUACAUUGCAGGGUGCACUGAACUAGGCACAUUAUUUUGAAACCAUAUAAAUAAUACAAGAGGAAAUUUACCCAGUGCUCCUCCACUUAUGUAUUAAUAUAUAAAUGGUUCUGUGGAGCUGGGCUCUGGCUCAUGUAAUCAAAACAUAUUUGAAGAAGACAAGCAAGUUUAAAGAGCCAAGAGUUUGUUCUUCG
RNAcentral lists this long non-coding RNA (2693 nucleotides) under Ailuropoda melanoleuca (giant panda). RNAcentral describes it as "lncRNA (ENSAMEG00000026918.1)". Lineage: Eukaryota; Metazoa; Chordata; Mammalia; Carnivora; Ursidae. The record is from RNAcentral.